AUGCUUGCUGGGAGUGAUGCCACCCGGUGCGCCACUGCAGCUCUCGUUCUCAUCGCUGGAGACCAGUCGUGUUUGAGCCCAUCUCCAUUGGCGGAUGCCGCCAUUUCCUUCUUCAGUGAACUCCCCGCCGGUGGCCUUCAUUCACUGGCUGAGGGGGGAGUGGCGCUCGAACGACCCGAGAAGGAAGGCGCGAUGGAUUUCCAUGGUGGGAUUGAGCUCAGACUGACCGCCGGAGACGAAGAUAGUGGUUCCGUUGCCGUAUCUGUAACCAAAGAGCUGAGGGGAUCUGGGAUGGACACAGACAUAGUCUCUGAUUAUGGAGAUCUUCGGAUGAACAAGAGAAUCACGUUUGAUCCUGGGGUUGCUUAUAAAACUCUGAAACUGGAGAGGAGUCUGUUUUAA
Molecule: ribosomal RNA, 402 nt
Filed under: Triticum aestivum (bread wheat)
Lineage: Eukaryota; Viridiplantae; Streptophyta; Magnoliopsida; Poales; Poaceae
Description: partial small subunit ribosomal RNA
Source: RNAcentral